UAAUGUAUGGGGAUCUGCCCGAUGAGGGGAUAACUACUGGAAACGGUGGCUAAUACCGCAUAAUGUCUACGGACCAAAGCAGGGGCUCUUCGGACCUUGCACUAUCGGAUGAACCCAUAUGGGAUUAGCUAGUAGGUGGGGUAAAGGCUCACCUAGGCGACGAUCUCUAGCUGGUCUGAGAGGAUGAUCAGCCACACUGGGACUGAGACACGGCCCAG
RNAcentral lists this ribosomal RNA (218 nucleotides) under uncultured bacterium. RNAcentral describes it as "partial 16S ribosomal RNA". It matches the Rfam family "Bacterial small subunit ribosomal RNA", at positions 111 to 334 of the family's 1533-position model. The record is from RNAcentral.